ACGUACACUCCUGCGGGAGGCAGCAGUGGGGAAUAUUGGACAAUGGGGGCAACCCUGAUCCAGCCAUGCCGCGUGAGUGAUGAAGGCCCUAGGGUUGUAAAGCUCUUUUGUGCGGGAAGAUAAUGACGGUACCGCAAGAAUAAGCCCCGGCUAACUUCGUGCCAGCAGCCGCGGUAAUACGAAGGGGGCUAGCGUUGCUCGGAAUCACUGGGCGUAAAGGGUGCGUAGGCGGGUCUUUAAGUCAGGGGUGAAAUCCUGGAGCUCAACUCCAGAACUGCCUUUGAUACUGAGGAUCUUGAGUCCGGAAGAGGUGAGUGGAACUGCGAGUGUAGAGGUGAAAUUCGUAGAUAUUCGCAAGAACACCAGUGGCGAAGGCGGCUCACUGGUCCGGUACUGACGCUGAGGCACGAAAGCGUGGGGAGCAAACAGGAUUAGAAACCCCUGUAGUCCCAUGA
Molecule: ribosomal RNA, 455 nt
Filed under: uncultured organism
Description: partial 16S ribosomal RNA
Rfam family: Bacterial small subunit ribosomal RNA
Source: RNAcentral